This 109-nucleotide small nucleolar RNA is filed under the name Malassezia pachydermatis. Its description in RNAcentral is "Small nucleolar RNA snR60/Z15/Z230/Z193/J17". It matches the Rfam family "Small nucleolar RNA snR60/Z15/Z230/Z193/J17". From Rfam's summary of the family: The members of this family belong to the C/D class of snoRNAs which contain the C (UGAUGA) and D (CUGA) box motifs. Lineage: Eukaryota; Fungi; Basidiomycota; Malasseziomycetes; Malasseziales; Malasseziaceae. The record is from Rfam by way of RNAcentral.
UGUAUCCAAAGGAUUAGUCCUCAAAUAAAUGCAUAGUUCAACUCUAGGAUACGUCCAAUGCGAACAACCAUACCAUCAUUAAGUCUUUCGCUCCUAUAUGAUGGAACAC